This 403-nucleotide ribosomal RNA is filed under the name uncultured bacterium. Its description in RNAcentral is "partial 16S ribosomal RNA". It matches the Rfam family "Bacterial small subunit ribosomal RNA", at positions 30 to 526 of the family's 1533-position model. The record is from RNAcentral.
AUUGAACGCUGGCGGCAGGCCUAACACAUGCAAGUCGAGCGAGCGGCGGACGGGUGAGUAAUGUAUGGGGACUGCCCGCUAGAGGGGGAUAACUACUGGAAACGGUAGCUAAUACCGCAUACUAUCGGAUAACCCAUAUGGGAUUAGCUAGUAGGUGAGGUAAUGGCUCACCUAGGCGACGAUCCCUAGCUGGUCUGAGAGGAUGAUCAGCCACACUGGGACUGAGACACGGCCCAGACUCCUGCGGAGGCAGCAGUGGGGAAUAUUGCACAAUGGGCGCAAGCCUGAUGCAGCCAUGCCGCGUGUAUGAAGAAGGCGCUAGAGUUGUAGAGGACUUUCAGUAGGGAGGCGUUACCAGCAGAAGACGCACCAGCUAACUCCGUGGCAGCAGCCGCGGUAAUAC